AUUCGAUUAGAGUUUGAUCCUGGCUCAGAUUGAACGCUGGCGGAAUGCUUUACACAUGCAAGUCGAACGGCAGCACGGGAGCUUGCUCCUGGUGGCGAGUGGCGAACGGGUGAGUAAUGCGUCGGAACGUACCGAGUAAUGGGGGAUAACGCAGCGAAAGCUGUGCUAAUACCGCAUACGCCCUGAGGGGGAAAGUGGGGGAUCGCAAGACCUCACGUUAUUCGAGCGGCCGACGUCUGAUUAGCUAGUUGGUGGGGUAAAGGCCUACCAAGGCGACGAUCAGUAGCGGGUCUGAGAGGAUGAUCCGCCACACUGGGACUGAGACACGGCCCAGACUCCUACGGGAGGCAGCAGUGGGGAAUUUUGGACAAUGGGGGCAACCCUGAUCCAGCCAUUCCGCGUGAGUGAAGAAGGCCUUCGGGUUGUAAAGCUCUUUCAGCUGGAACGAAACGGUACGUCCUAAUACGGUGUGCUAAUGACGGUACCAGCAGAAGAAGCACCGGCUAACUACGUGCCAGCAGCCGCGGUAAUACGUAGGGUGCGAGCGUUGUCCGGAAUUACUGGGCGUAAAGGGUGCGUAGGUGGCCUUUUAAGUUGGAUGUGAAAUACCCGGGCUUAACUUG
This 623-nucleotide ribosomal RNA is filed under the name uncultured bacterium. RNAcentral describes it as "bacterial SSU rRNA". It matches the Rfam family "Bacterial small subunit ribosomal RNA", at positions 1 to 616 of the family's 1533-position model. The record is from RNAcentral.